GCCAACUUAGCUCAGUGGUAGAGCAGCCGAUUUGUAAUCGGCCGGUCGUCGGUUCAAAUCCGACAGUUGGCU
This 72-nucleotide transfer RNA is filed under the name Verrucomicrobiota bacterium. RNAcentral's name for it is "Verrucomicrobia bacterium (mine drainage metagenome) tRNA-Thr". It matches the Rfam family "tRNA". Rfam says of the family: Transfer RNA (tRNA) molecules are approximately 80 nucleotides in length. Lineage: Bacteria; Pseudomonadati; Verrucomicrobiota. The record is from RNAcentral.